UGCAAGUCGCACGGACUGUUUCGGCAGUUAGUGGCGGACGGGUGAGUAACACGUAGGUGACCUACCCCAAAGUCUGGGACAACUAGGAGAAAUCUUAGCUAAUCCUGGAUGUGAACCUCAGCUGUGGCUGAUGUUUAAAGCUUCGGCGCUUUGGGAUGGGCCUGCGGCGCAUCAGGUAGUUGGUGGGGUAACGGCCCACCAAGCCGACGACGCGUAGCUGGUCUGAGAGGACGACCAGCCACAGGGGUACUGAGACACGGACCCCACUCCUACGGGAGGCAGCAGUUAGGAAUCUUCCGCAAUGGGCGAAAGCCUGACGGAGCGAUACCGCUUGAAGGACGAAGCCCUUCGGGGUGUAAACUUCUGAACUCGGGACGAUAAUGACGGUACCGAGGUAAUAGCACCGGCUAACUCCGUGCCAGCAGCCGCGGUAAUACGGAGGGUGCGAGCGUUACCCGGAUUUACUGGGUGUAAAGGGCGUGUAGGCGGUCUCUCAAGUCCGAUGCUAAAGACCGAAGCUCAACUUCGGGGGUGCGUUGGAUACUGUGAGGCUAGACGGUCGGAGAGGGUAGCGGAAUUUCCGGAGUAGCGGUGA
This 595-nucleotide ribosomal RNA is filed under the name uncultured bacterium. Its description in RNAcentral is "bacterial SSU rRNA". It matches the Rfam family "Bacterial small subunit ribosomal RNA", at positions 56 to 684 of the family's 1533-position model. The record is from RNAcentral.